This 26-nucleotide non-coding RNA is filed under the name Mus musculus (house mouse). Lineage: Eukaryota; Metazoa; Chordata; Mammalia; Rodentia; Muridae. The record is from RNAcentral.
UUAGGCCUAAUGCUGAUUGCUUGGAC